CGGACGGGUGAGUAACGCGUGGGUAACCUGCCUUAUACAGGGGGAUAACAGUCAGAAAUGGCUGCUAAUACCGCAUAAGCGCACAGAGCUGCAUGGCUCAGUGUGAAAAACUCCGGUGGUAUAAGAUGGACCCGCGUUGGAUUAGCUUGUUGGUGGGUAACGGCCCACCAAGGCGACGAUCCAUAGCCGGCCUGAGAGGGUGAACGGCCACAUUGGGACUGAGACACGGCCCAGACUCCUACGGGAGGCAGCAUG
This 255-nucleotide ribosomal RNA is filed under the name uncultured bacterium. Its description in RNAcentral is "partial 16S ribosomal RNA". It matches the Rfam family "Bacterial small subunit ribosomal RNA", at positions 99 to 353 of the family's 1533-position model. The record is from RNAcentral.